This 713-nucleotide long non-coding RNA is filed under the name Daucus carota (carrot). RNAcentral's name for it is "long non-coding RNA (DCAR_LNC004526)". The record is from RNAcentral. Lineage: Eukaryota; Viridiplantae; Streptophyta; Magnoliopsida; Apiales; Apiaceae.
CUAUAAUUACCCAUUGAGACAUUUGAUCAAGAACACUCUGAUCACUAGGCAGCCAUCCUCAAAUUAAUGGCAACAACAACAUUGCUAAAUUCACAAUCAACAACCUCAACUUCAUCCUUACAUUUCUCAAUCUUCUCCUCCAUUUCCAUCUUUUCCGCGCUUUCUGCACUGUAUUUCCUUUUCGCUACCACAUUUCACAACACCUAUCUCAUUUCAUACACCUAUGUUAUCUCCGCCGCAUUCAUUGCCAUUCACCUCAUCCUCUUGUUCUUCCACCACAACUUGCGGAAUGUGAAGAUUGCAGAGUGGAUUGAUCAGGCACAUUGCAACACCGGUAGCGUAUUUUGCUGCUUUUGAUCUUCACUUCGUGCCUGAGAAAACGGUCAACGGUCUGUGGCUUGUGAUCUGCCUUUGGAUUGAUGUGCAUGCUCUGAUUCAAAUUACGAGGCCUGUUACUACAGUGAAGCAUUUGCCAAUUUUAUAUUGAUGGCAAUUACAGGUCGAGCUAUGGAUUUGUACGGCUUCACAAGUACAUACUGGAUGAUCAUGUUCUUUUGUUUUAUGCUCAGAUAUCUGAUGGAAAUUUAUGGUAACAAAAUUUCUUCAUCUUCCCGCAGUGUGGCGGUUGAAACGAGGGAGGUCACGGAUUAUUAAAGCAUCACUUGUUAUAUGUUCAAAAAGGCUUAAAGUAAUGAACUUGUGCACAUCGAUCA